Molecule: transfer RNA, 69 nt
Filed under: Marmota monax (woodchuck)
Lineage: Eukaryota; Metazoa; Chordata; Mammalia; Rodentia; Sciuridae
Description: tRNA.Ala
Source: RNAcentral
GGGGUUGUGGCUCAGUGGCAGAGUGCUUGCCUCGCACAUAUGAAGCACUGGGUUCGAUCCUCAACACCA